RNAcentral lists this ribosomal RNA (537 nucleotides) under [Taeniolella] phialosperma. Its description in RNAcentral is "eukaryotic LSU rRNA". The stretch from base 190 to 343 matches the Rfam family "5.8S ribosomal RNA". The record is from RNAcentral. Lineage: Eukaryota; Fungi; Ascomycota; Sordariomycetes; Sordariales.
UCUCCGUUGGUGAACCAGCGGAGGGAUCAUUAAAGAGUUGCAAAACUCCCACAAACCAUCGCGAACGUUACCACACAUAAGUUGCUUCGGCGCGCCGCUCCUGGGUCACACCGGGGCGCCGCCGGAGUGGCCGUAUACAAACUCUUAUUAUAAACUAGUUACAUCUGAGUACUAUACUUAAUAAGUAAAAACUUUCAACAACGGAUCUCUUGGUUCUGGCAUCGAUGAAGAACGCAGCGAAAUGCGAUAAGUAAUGUGAAUUGCAGAAUUCAGUGAAUCAUCGAAUCUUUGAACGCACAUUGCGCCCGCCAGUAUUCUGGCGGGCAUGCCUGUUCGAGCGUCAUUUCAACCAUCAAGCUCUGCUUGUGUUGGGGCCCCUGCGGCUGUCCGCAGGCCCUUAAAACCAGUGGCGGGCUCGCCUACACUCCGAGCGCAGUAGCACAUCUCGCUCAGGUCGUGUGGUGGGUUUCCGGCCGUAAAACACCCCCCUUCUGAAAGGUUGACCUCGGAUCAGGUAGGAAUACCCGCUGAACUUAA